GACGAACGCUGGCGGCGUGCUUAACACAUGCAAGUCGAACGAUGAAGCCCAGCUUGCUGGGUGGAUUAGUGGCGAACGGGUGAGUAACACGUGAGUAACCUGCCCUGGACUCUGGGAUAAGCGUUGGAAACGACGUCUAAUACCGGAUAGGACCUUUGACCGCAUGGUUGGGGGUGGAAAGUUUUUUCGGUCUGGGAUGGACUCGCGGCCUAUCAGCUUGUUGGUGAGGUAAUGGCUCACCAAGGCGUCGACGGGUAGCCGGCCUGAGAGGGAGACCGGCCACACUGGGACUGAGACACGGCCCAGACUCCUACGGGAGGCAGCAGUGGGGAAUAUUGCACAAUGGGCGCAAGCCUGAUGCAGCGACGCCGCGUGGGGGAUGAAGGCCUUCGGGUUGUAAACUCCUUUCGCCAUUGACGAAGCCCUUUGGGGUGACGGUAGGUGGAGAAGAAGCACCGGCUAACUACGUGCCAGCCGCCGCCGUAACAC
RNAcentral lists this ribosomal RNA (489 nucleotides) under uncultured bacterium. RNAcentral describes it as "bacterial SSU rRNA". It matches the Rfam family "Bacterial small subunit ribosomal RNA", at positions 28 to 526 of the family's 1533-position model. The record is from RNAcentral.